This 171-nucleotide microRNA precursor is filed under the name Orobanche cernua var. cumana. RNAcentral describes it as "miR166e". The stretch from base 11 to 159 matches the Rfam family "mir-166 microRNA precursor family". Rfam says of the family: This family represents the plant microRNA (miRNA) precursor mir-166. Animal miRNAs are transcribed as ~70nt precursors and subsequently processed by the Dicer enzyme to give a ~22nt product. In plants the precursor sequences may be longer, and the carpel factory (caf) enzyme appears to be involved in processing. The record is from RNAcentral. Lineage: Eukaryota; Viridiplantae; Streptophyta; Magnoliopsida; Lamiales; Orobanchaceae.
UGAAGGGUGUUUUGUGGGGGAUGUUGGCUGGCUCGACGCAACCACAGUUUUCUUGCUGUUAAUUAAUUAUAUUAAUUAAUUAAUGAUUUUCUUUUUUUACAGCUGUUAAAAGAAAAAAAAAACUGUGAAGGCUUCGGACCAGGCUUCAUUCCUCUCAAACCCGGCCUUUCG